Molecule: long non-coding RNA, 583 nt
Organism: Cydia amplana
Lineage: Eukaryota; Metazoa; Arthropoda; Insecta; Lepidoptera; Tortricidae
Exons: 2
Source: RefSeq, a predicted model, not a curated record
CUAAUUUUCGGUGGAAGUUUGCAUGGUAAUGUACAUCAUAUAUUUUUUUUAGUUUUAUCAUUCUCUUAUUUUAGAAGUUACAGGGGGGGGGGGGGGACACACAUUUUACCACUUUGGAAGUGUCUCUCGCGCAAACUAUUCAGUUUAGAAAAAAAUGAUGUUAGAAACCUCAAUAUCAUUUUUGAAGACCUAUCUAUAGAUACCCCACACGUAUGGGUUUGAUGAAAAAAAAUUUUUUGAGGGAUUUAUGACGUAUUAAAAAAAACUACUUACUAGAUCUCGUUCAAACCAAUUUUCGGUGGAAGUUUGCAUGGUAAUAUACAUCAUAUAUUUUUUUAGUCUUAUCAUUCUCUUAUUUUAGAAGUUGCAGGGGGGGGACACAUUUUACCACUUUGGAAGUGUCUCUCGCGCAAUCUAUUCAGUUUAGAAAAAAAUGAUAUUAGAAACCUCAAUAUCAUUUUUGAAGAUCUAUCCAUAGAUACCCCACACGUAUGGGUUUGAUGAAAAAAGAAUUAUUGAGUUUGGGUUCUAAGUAAGGGGAACCCCCAAAAUUUAUUGUUUUUUUUUUUUCUUAAAUAGUUUU